This is a long non-coding RNA of Triticum aestivum (bread wheat), 2331 nucleotides long. RefSeq lists it as uncharacterized. The transcript has 3 exons. Lineage: Eukaryota; Viridiplantae; Streptophyta; Magnoliopsida; Poales; Poaceae. The record is from RefSeq and is a predicted model, not a curated record.
UCCUCCAAGCGCGCCUACAGCCGGCCUCUCCCCCACCGCGCCGCCGCCAGGCCUUCUCCCAACCACACCGCGCUGGCCGGCCUUCUCCCCGAGCGUGUCGCCUCCCGUCCUUCUCCCCAUCGCCGGCAGCUUCUUCGUGCUUCUUCGGCCGCCUCCCUUCCUCCAACCUCCCGUAUCUCACACUGCCCAUAGCACAAUGCCAUCUUUUGGUGGGGCUCCGCCGCCGGAGCACCCUGUCCGUUCACAGCCACCACCACUCCAGGCCGUUCAACGCCACCACCCGAAGCGAUUCACCACCUCCCUCCGCUGCCCCUCCUAUGUUUGUUGGUGUAGCCAGCGGCGCUCUGCCCCUAUUUUGCUUACCCUGUCCAUCUCCGCAACUCCUCGCAGUUUAUUGCUCGCCCAUCGUGUGGUGGUGUGUACUCAACUGAAUGUUCACCACUGUUCGAACUGUAGCGCUAAUAAUUUGUUCUCUUCUCUGAAAUUUGGUUGCAUGCUCGCUUUCCUAUCCUCUUUCUGCAGUAUUCGGCUGGAUCAUGCUGGAGAUUCCUCACAGACUGCCUGUGUUUGUAAAUUGUGAUUUGUUGCGGUCAGGGCAUGACGAGGAUACUACUGACAUUGAUCCCACACUUCCGGGAGGUUGUUCUGACGGCCUUCGAGUGACUACAUAGCAGUGAAAGGGACGGUGGCAUGAAGCAGUUGAGUAGGUGUGCGUGGUGAGCAGCUACUAAACUUAUUCAGACACUACAAAAUAUAGUCCCACACAGCCUCUCAACACCACUUCUUGAACCUGCUUGAACCUUCAUGGCCCAGGCCGUUCACUGCCUCCACAUAAGGCCGUUCGAUGACGCAAUGCUCAAGCCGAUCACCCUUGCCAGCACCCUAGACUCCCAUGAAAUAUCUAGUCAAAAAAAUGGUUGAUCGUAAGUGCAAGUACACUACACACGCUGAGCUGCAACGGGACACGGUGACAUCACUUCUUUUGGGUUGUUUUCUGUAUGAAUCUGCAUUUUUGUUAUUAAAUUUAGUACAACGAAACACAUGAAUCCCCAGCGGGUACCAAAUUAUUGAUUCCUUAAAACAAUUAAUAGAUUUCACCAUUGGUUGGUCUACUUGUGUAAAUCUGUCAGUUCAUGACAAGUAACUUCUGAUGCUAGAAAUGCAGGAUGUUUGUGUGAAUCUUGCUUGUUUCAGAGAGAAAAAGAGUUGGUACUUGCAUCACAUGGUGUAUUGAACAAACAUACGCAUUCAGAUAAACAUGCUAACAACUCCUCUUGCUAUACUCAUGCUUGUACUUGUUUAUUUUUCUUGUUUGGGAAAUGGUUUCCUGUCCUCCUAACAGCUUUUCUCAAAUUUCAUUUAAUUUAGUUUCAAAUCAAACCAGAGCUAAUGCAUAAAUGUCAUUGGGUGAGGUUGCUAGGAAGAUUUGCAUUAGAGAAUGCUUUGUUGGAAAAGCUUCGAUUGGUAUUAUUAACAACAAAACUCUCGGUGGACAUAGACCGUAAAUCUUGAGACUAUUUUCACCAUUUUUUGCCCUUUGGUGUUUGGAAAUUCUAAAUUUUGUUGAUUUCAACUUGAUGAAUAUAAAGAUAUAUGCCAUGAGUUUUAGAUUAUAUCUCUGCUGUUGUAAUUGCUUGUUGGUGUUUAUUAGUAGAUAUACAUGUAUGAGUUCACUCCUGACUAUUGUAAUAAAGUUUUUUAGGAUUUGGAAGUAUCUAGUCUAGAUUGGCAGUGUAAAAACCAUAUAUAAAAUGUCUUGAUGCAUGCUAGCAGAAAUCUGAAAAUAAACUCAGCACAGUUCCUAUAUUUUAUUCAAGUUCAAAGCUAAACAUUUCUAACAGCUUAUCGCUCCUUGCAGGAUACACACUAUUCAUCGCAUUUGUCAUCGAGCGAUUGCACCACUAUCUUCAGAAGCUCAUCACCCUGAGGAAAUCAGUCAACACCUCCCAGAGAGGAGCUUGAAAUUUUCCAAAUGGAGUUCAAACGUGAAUUUGAGAAAAUGAUUCCUUGGCUAAGUUCCAAAAAUGUCAUUCUAUGAAGUUCGGCUAUUCAGCCAUGGACUAGUCAAUGGUGGAGUUGCAAUUUUGUUUCUUUUGUACAUACAUGAAUUGAAUGUAAUCAACGGAAAGAAACAUAUGUUGAUUCUCCAAGUUAGAGUUCAUUUUUAUUUUCUACAAGUAGCAAAACUUCCUGUGUAGAUCAAUACAUGUUCUGUGCGAUCUUGUGUUACAAAUCUUGUAGUACUGUUUUUACAGGGAUCUUUCUAGUACUUUGUAAAGCAAGCGUGAUCCAUUUGUAAAAAUAUGGCAAAAGACAUCCUUCACUCUUGCA